GGCGUAACCAUAGCAAAGCUUACGCGUUUUAAAACGAAAACGCAUUUGUUUAAACGGGGCCUAAGACUGAGUUACCUGGAUGGGAGACCACAUAGGAAAUCUAGGGUUGCUGCCG
RNAcentral lists this ribosomal RNA (115 nucleotides) under Danio rerio (zebrafish). The record is from RNAcentral. Lineage: Eukaryota; Metazoa; Chordata; Actinopteri; Cypriniformes; Danionidae.